RNAcentral lists this ribosomal RNA (917 nucleotides) under uncultured Bacillota bacterium. Its description in RNAcentral is "bacterial SSU rRNA". It matches the Rfam family "Bacterial small subunit ribosomal RNA", at positions 1 to 917 of the family's 1533-position model. Lineage: Bacteria; Bacillati; Bacillota. The record is from RNAcentral.
UGGAUCCAGACUUUGAUUCUGGCUCAGGACGAACGCUGGCGGCGUGCUUAACACAUGCAAGUCGAACGAGAAUCUACUGAAAGAGUUUUCGGACAAUGGAAGUAGAGGAAAGUGGCGGACGGGUGAGUAACGCGUGAGGAACCUGCCUUGAAGAGGGGGACAACAGUUGGAAACGACUGCUAAUACCGCAUGACGCAUAGAGGUCGCAUGAUCUUUAUGCCAAAGAUUUAUCGCUUCAAGAUGGCCUCGCGUCUGAUUAGCUGGUUGGCGGGGUAACGGCCCACCAAGGCGACGAUCAGUAGCCGGACUGAGAGGUUGAACGGCCACAUUGGGACUGAGAUACGGCCCAGACUCCUACGGGAGGCAGCAGUGGGGAAUAUUGGGCAAUGGGCGCAAGCCUGACCCAGCAACGCCGCGUGAAGGAAGAAGGCUUUCGGGUUGUAAACUUCUUUUAAGAGGGAAGAGCAGAAGACGGUACCUCUAGAAUAAGCCACGGCUAACUACGUGCCAGCAGCCGCGGUAAUACGUAGGUGGCAAGCGUUGUCCGGAUUUGCUGGGUGUAAAGGGCGUGCAGCCGGGUCUGCAAGUCAGAUGUGAAAUCCAUGGGCUCAACCCAUGAACUGCAUUUGAAACUGUAGAUCUUGAGUGUCGGAGGGGCAAUCGGAAUUCCUAGUGUAGCGGUGAAAUGCGUAGAUAUUAGGAGGAACACCAGUGGCGAAGGCGGAUUGCUGGACGAUAACUGACGGUGAGGCGCGAAAGUGUGGGGAGCAAACAGGAUUAGAUACCCUGGUAGUCCACACUGUAAACGAUGAAUACUAGGUGUGCGGGGACUGACCCCCUGCGUGCCGCAGUAAACACAAUAAGUAUUCCACCUGGGGAGUACGAUCGCAAGGUUGCAACUCAAAUGAAUUGACGGA